GACGAAGGAUCCAAGCGUUAUCCGGAUUUAUUGGGUUUAAAGGGUGCGUAGGCGGAUUGAUAAGUCAGUGGUGAAAGCCUGUUGCUUAGCAACAGAACUGCCAUUGAUACUGUCAAUCUUGAAUAUGUUUGAUGUGGGCGGAAUAUGACAUGUAGCGGUGAAAUGCUUAGAUAUGUCAUAGAACACCGAUUGCGUAGGCAGCUUACUAGGCUGUAACUGACGCUGAGGCACGAAAGCGUGGGGAGCGAACAGG
Molecule: ribosomal RNA, 253 nt
Filed under: uncultured bacterium
Lineage: Bacteria
Description: partial 16S ribosomal RNA
Rfam family: Bacterial small subunit ribosomal RNA
Source: RNAcentral